CUCAUUCAAAAUGGAGGUCAUGGUCCAUGUACGUGCGGAAGAGCGUCUGAUAUUGAUACGUUUACGUGCUUUUACUGUCAUAUAUCUGCAGGAGAAUGACAUAUAGGGAGAGAAAACAGCUGGUCGUACCGGAUACCCGCAGAAAUAACGACAGUCCUUUGGAAAGGUGGCUUCCCCGGGCAUAAAUCGGACGGUCGGCGGAGGGAGUUGGAGUCUCCGAGCGCUCGUCCGGGAGUACGGAACGCCGUGAUUCAAUUAGGGAUCAGUGACGCUGAACGUUGGCGUCUGUCUGGGUGUUAUCGCGUCGACGUGAUCUGUUUAAGGCCGCCUGAAGGGUAGAAUUCCAUUCAUUGCUGUUAGGGAGCGCGGCUCUUAUCUAUGAUGUGGAAUUAGCAAUGACCUGGUGCAGUUGUUACAUACAAUUUGUAGGUAUUGAAUGUCCCGACUGACGAAUGCCUGGCACUGUAGUAUACUACGAGACAGGGAUUUGUGCGAGUGAUCUUCUUAAACCAUCUAGAAGACCCAGGCCCCGAUCAAUGAUGUAAGUGGGCAUGAAGUUAUACUGACUGGGAUUAUGUGACAGACGGCUUGCUAUAAAUUCUCAGAUAGCACAGCACCCGACAUGUGACUUCUGUAUGUAUGUGAAAGAAUUAAGGUAAUUAUUGACAGUGAAAUCCGAUUUCAGUUCCAAUGGGACUUGAAGCACAGUGAUGCCAUGUCCAUUACGUGUGCUUAAUCAAUUCUGCAACAAAAUAUUGGCCUCUGUAGGAUCCAGGGAUCUUAUCUACAGAGCUUAAGUGGGUUGGUACUAAGUAGUUCUAAACACAAAAGACAGCAUGUAGGAAAUGUGUUGUAAAUAUAAUGUGCACCCAGACAUAACGUCAUGUUUCCAACAGAUCUGUGGUAGGCACGAGACAUCAAUAAUGCAGUACAACAGUCUGUGCCAAGCUCGAGUAUAAAGAGGUAACAUGAGGCUUGUUAGACUGAAGCAGUUUCGCAGAUUCUUCUCAGGAUGGCGGGUCCGGAGGAUGUGCGGUUUCUUCUUCUUUGUCGUCGUCUUUUACUGCUUUGUUUUCCAACCGUUCUCCUACAACCAGCUGACCGACACAACGUUCCUCGGGGAGGACAAAUGUCCCGCUUGCUUCGGGACCGACCUCUGCGAAGAGUUUGAAAAUGGCAAGAUUUUAUUCAAGUAUUCCUCACGGCUGAGAAUACUGGACAUCUUCAACAUCAAGAAUGUGUACUUCGCAAUCUAUGAAGGGAUGGAGGUUGCCUUGAAACGUCUUGGUCACAACUCUGAAUUUGAUCAGUUGGACCGGUGGAUCUGCGAGACUGGCAAGGAAGGCCCGCAAUGCCACAUCCCUUCCGUCACGUACUAUUCCAACUUUUCUCGCGUGAUCUACGAGGGGUUAUCCCCCAAGAGCCUGACAGACAUGUCAGAUAUGGUGAGGUGUCCAUCACAAAGGCUGAUUGACAGGGUACUGGAGAAAUUUGCGGAGCAUCUCGGUAAGGAGACAGAGGAACUGUCGUAUCAGGAGAAGCUCCACUUCCUGUCUACUCUGAAGUUUAACCCAGAACCACUUAUGUUACAGACAUUCCCCAUCACUGAGGGCUGGCCAUUCCCGUUCUACUUUGGUGCCUGCGGUCGACUGACAGUCGUGCAGAAGUGCGACAAGACUUUGGCGAGUUACUACAGUGCCCCCUGGCUGCAGAGAGUGGAACUAUCCCUCCAGAUGAUGAAGAUAGCAGAAUAUCUAACAAACAAUGAGGCAGACUUUGCCCUUUACCUCACCGACAUUUCGUACGAGAAUUUUGGGGUGACGAGUGAUGGAAAUCUGUUCGUUAUAGACGUGGAGAACGUCAUUGUGGUGGACAAACAAAAGAUAAAAACAGAUAAACCGCCUAACUGGGAGGCCAGGUACCAGUCCCACUUUGACGAGUGUCCGGGCAUGCCCAACUGCCUGUCAUUUGACGUGUCCGCGUUGUGCAGGUACCUCCACACCGACCAUAACUACUACGCGGUGUGCAGGAACAUGUUGUCUGAGUACGCCUCGGAGAUGGGGAAGCCGGGAGGUCUCCUGCACGAUCCGCCAGAGACCGUGGUGCACGACGGGACGUUACAACGCCUCCUGAGGGAGUGCGCCAAACCACGAACUCUAUACGGCAGGUUUGACGCUGCCAAGGAACUGAUUGAGUUGUUGGGAAGCUUCUUGAAGGAGAGGUGACUUCUCAAGUCAGGAAGGCCAUCAAAAACCAUAAUAUAGUUUAACUUUAAGUGCUUCCCACAAUUUUUGGAUAUAGGGGAGUGCCCAUCUCCAUUUGUAUAGCCAAACCACGAACUCCUUAUGGCAGGUUUGACGCUGCCAAGGAACUGAUCGAGUUGUUGGGAAGCUUCUUGAAGGAGAGGUGACUUCUCGAAUCAGGAAAGGCUGUGAUUUAGUUUAAGUGCUUCCCACAAUUUUUGUGUAUAGGGGAAAGCCUAUCUCCAUUUGUAUAGCCCUCGGGCCACACCCAAGGUGCAGAAAGCACUAUGACCACACACCCCUCCCCCAGUAGUAGGGGGCUAGUCUACUGGAAAAGGUCACAAUACAUUGUCAAACAUGUAGGGAUAGUUCAUAGUCUUCAGACACACGACUCCAUUAUAAAAACUCUGCAAACAAACCAAACUCCAGACGUCAAACACAAUGGCAAAGUUUCAGAUGAUACUACAUGAGUAGUUGAUACAGUAGCAAUCUGUACAGUGGAAAACUUUCUUUCCAAACACUUAUUCAGGGGAUAGAUGUCAGAGCCUUAUUCGAGUAAGGCCCACUUUCCAUUAGACAACAAAUAUGAUGCAAAAUAUAAAGAUAUGAUCCAAAAUAUAGCAAACCGCAUGAAACAUAAAAAGUUCUUUAACUAUGAAUUUUGUUGAGCGACCUGGUAAAUGUCUGGCUACUCAGAUGUUGCUCAAUGGGUGAAGGAGAUUUAAAUGGAUUACAUGCCCCAAAUCUAUGCACACACUGGAAAUAGAUGUACUGUACAGCCUCUAAGGCAAGGUGUCAGUUUUAGUGACGCAUCUCUUUUAAAAGGCAAUAGUAUUUAUAGAUGAUACUUUUUGUAAAUGUUAGUGUUGAAUCCACUUCUCUGUGUACAUGCCCAGUUAUGAAGUAUAAAUGAUUAUUAAAAAAUGUAAGUAGAUCUACAUUUACUAGAUCAACAUGUACCCAUUGAUGAUGUGUGUGAACAAUUGACUUCAAGUUAGUUGUCACCUAAGUGUGUUCAUUCAAGAUGUUGAUAAGUCAAUUGGGGUCAAAUAGCCAGUGAGUGGAUAUGUUGGUGGACACAAGAUCAGAAGGUAGAAGGUUUGAUUCCCAGUAUUCUUGGCUAUACGUUGUGUCCUUGGGAAACUUUCCUCACUCCACUUUGGGGUAAAUGGCUAAAAUGGUAAACUGGAUUUCAAAACAGAAAUCACAACCUUCAGGGUGGUUUUGAGCUUCCUAUGAAUAAAUUAGGGUUCAAACAAACAAAUCUGGCCAGCACUGUAAGCUAGGAACAAGCCUGUGCAAUACUGUAUAUGUAGUAUUAUGUACACAUUUAAGACUUAUGCUUUCUGUCUAGCAGUACAUAGUCGCUUUCUAUAUAUGUCAAGGGUUACAUUUUAUGAAAAAAAUUGUUGCUGUGCAACAGAGAAUAAACAGGUUUUUGGAUGUUGGACGUUACAACCAGAAUAAGGUGUACACAUUUCUAGGAAUAAAUCUAGUUAUAUAGACAA
Molecule: RNA transcript, 3751 nt
Organism: Branchiostoma floridae (Florida lancelet)
Lineage: Eukaryota; Metazoa; Chordata; Leptocardii; Amphioxiformes; Branchiostomatidae
Gene name: divergent protein kinase domain 2A-like
Exons: 4
Source: RefSeq, a predicted model, not a curated record